AUGAGACUGCAUAUGGGGCAAGUCAGUCUGCUGAGGUGGGUAAAUAAUGCGACGAUUACUGGUUGGCAACCUCUGUGGAGCUAUCCCUCCAGCUGCAAAAUCAGUGCUUUCUAUUGCGGCGCAUUCAGUGCUUGCACAAGCGCAGGAACAUGUGCGUGCAUUGAUGGUUUCAGACCAAGUGAUCCAGAUGAAUGGAGGCUUGGGCAAUUUGUUAGCGGCUGCUCUAGAGUAAUACCCUCAGAUUGCGAAGACGGCAUCUCCACCGACUCGUUUGUUUUGUUAGACAACCUGCAAGGCCUUCCUGCCAACCCUCAAGAUACAAGCGAAGAAACUAGUGAAGACUGUGAAGCAACCUGUCUGAGCCAAUGCUAUUGCGUCGCAUAUUCCUAUGAUCUCUCUGGAUGCAAGAUAUGGUAUAAUGUGUUGCUUAAUUUGACUUUUGGAAAUGGUACCAUUCACCACACCAAGAUUUCCAUGCGUAUAGGUUCUCAUGGUAAAAGGCGGCAAGGACACAUACAGCAUGUCAUGUUGGUUAUUGGUCCAAUAGUUGUUGGUCUUCUUAUCAUGCUGGUGAUUUUCUGGCUGUACAAGAUAUCUUCAAGACAGACUAAAGUGGAUGGUUUUCUUGCUGUUUACACCUAUACGCAGCUCAAGAGAGCCACAAGAAAUUUCUCUGACAAACUCGGCGAAGGAGGCUUUGGAAGUGUAUUCAAGGGAACAGUUGCAGGUCCAACUGAUGUAGCCGUGAAGGAGCUUAAAAGCUUCGGGCACAGAGAUAAGCAAUUCCGAGCAGAAGUACAGACUCUUGGGCUGAUUCAACACACCAAUCUUGUGCGCCUGUUCGGAUUCUGCAGCGAAGGGACCAGAAGGCUGCUGGUCUAUGAGUAUAUGGCAAAUGGUUCCUUGAAUUCUCAUCUCUUUUCAGAGGGAACAAGCAUAUUGAGCUGGAAUCUUCGCCGUCGCAUUGCCAUUGGUGUGGGUAAAGGUCUUUCCUAUCUGCACGAGGAAUGCAGGGACUGCAUCAUACACUGCGACAUCAAGCCCGAGAACAUACUACUGGAUGCUGAAUUCUGCCACAAAAUCGCAGAUUUUGGCAUGGCGAAGCUUCUCGGACGGGACAUGAGCACGGCACUGACCACCCUCCGUGGAACCAUCGGCUAUCUCGCACCGGAGUGGGUGUAUGGUCAGCCUAUCACUCACAAGGCAGAUGUCUACAGCUUUGGUGUUGUGCUCCUCGAAUUGAUCUCCGGGAGGAGGGCUACCGGGAAUGGAAAUCAUCGGUACUUCCCCCUUUAUGCUGCAGCUAAGGUGAACGAAGGAGAUGUCUUGUGCUUGCUCGAUGGCCGGCUACGAGGAGAUGGCAAUGAAAAAGAGCUGGAUGUUGCCUGUAGGGUUGCUUGCUGGUGCAUCCAGGAUGAUGAGAUCCACAGGCCAUCAAUGGGGCAAGCUGUACGCAUGCUGGAAGGCGCCGUUGACGUUGAGUUGCCUCCAAUUCCAACUUCAUUUCAGAACAUUAUGGACGGGGGCGACAGUGGCACAUAUUCUGCAGAAGUGUGA
This 1557-nucleotide ribosomal RNA is filed under the name Triticum aestivum (bread wheat). RNAcentral's name for it is "partial small subunit ribosomal RNA". The record is from RNAcentral. Lineage: Eukaryota; Viridiplantae; Streptophyta; Magnoliopsida; Poales; Poaceae.